CCGCCAUCUUGGUUUAGAUGAAAACAAUAAAAACAAACUUUUACUUUGAAAUAGAUUCAUGUUUUUCCCGCCAGAGGAGUCUUCUGUGGAGGUAGAAACGUUCAGAGUGGAGACUACCUGCUGUACCUUGCCAAAGCUGCCUUUCCCAAGCAUCUUGUGCAGGAUGAAGUCAUCGACUGUGAAUUUCGGGUGGUGGUCCUUCCUGGGGACGGCGUACAGAGGCUCCUCGUCUGUCAGCUCCUCUGCGAUCGAACUGUUGCCGUCAGCUGGUCCGUCCCAUGAGACACCCUGCACAUCUGCAGGAAGACGCAGGUGUAGCUGUGGCUGAGACACCCGUCACUAACCCAGACGGAGCUCGGACCACUCCGGGUUGGCCGAUACCUACUGGACCUUCUCGACCAAUGAUGUCAGAUUCUUUGAUGCUUUUGGCCUAGAGGCAAAAAGGAGGUGCCAGUGUUCACGUAAUGGCCUCUGGGUUUGCAGCAUGGCAGCACUGCAGGGCACCGAGCAGGUAACACCUGCAGGAGGACAGGUCUCUGUUUGGACAGAUUUAAUGUCCCAGAUUGGAAAUAAAAAAGUAU
Long non-coding RNA from Larimichthys crocea (large yellow croaker), 581 nucleotides. RefSeq lists it as uncharacterized. The record is from RefSeq and is a predicted model, not a curated record. The transcript is spliced from 4 exons. NCBI's taxonomy places the organism in Eukaryota, Metazoa, Chordata, Actinopteri, Sciaenidae.